Molecule: long non-coding RNA, 784 nt
Organism: Salmo salar (Atlantic salmon)
Lineage: Eukaryota; Metazoa; Chordata; Actinopteri; Salmoniformes; Salmonidae
Source: RefSeq, a predicted model, not a curated record
AUUGCUAUUUUAUUUGGAUACACAGAGCCGACAUGGUUGAAAUACGGAAGUCCAGUUUCCACGGAGGAGAAGCAUAUUGGUCCUUCUCGACAACACUGUUCAAGACAUACAAAGGGCUGUAGUGGAGCGGGUUGAGAGCUUCAAGUUCCUCGGUGUCCACGUGACUAAGGAAUUAACGUGGUCCAUGCACACCAACACAGUUGUGAAGAAGGCACGACAACACCUCUUUCCCCUCAGGAGGCUGAAAAUAUCUGGCAAAGACCCUCAGAUCCUCAAAAAGUUAUACAGCUGCACCAUUGAGAGCAUCUUGGCCAGCUGCAUCAUCGCUUGGCAUGUCAACUGCUUGGUAUCCGACCACAAGGCGCUACAGAGAGUAGUGCGUACAGCCCGGUACAUCAUUGAGGCCAAGCUUCCUUCCGUCUAGGACCUCUAUACCAGGCAGUGUCAGAAAAAGGCCCUUAACAUUGUCAAAGACUCCUGCCACCCAAGUCAUAGAUUGUUCUCUCUGCUACUGCACAGCAAGGGAUACCGAUGCACCAAGUAUGGAACCAACAGAACUCUGAACAGCUUCUACCCCCAAGCCAUAAGACUGCUCAAUAUUUAACCAAAUAGCUACCUUGGCUAUCUGCAUUGACCUCUUUUGACUCAUCACGUAUGCUGCUGCUACUGUUUAUUAUCUAUCCUGCACAUCGACUCGGUACUGGUGCCCCAUGUUUAUAGCCAGGUUAACAUUACUCAUUGUGUAUUUAUUCCUCAUGUAAUAAUUAAAAAAAAAAUUAUUCUA